CAGUCGCCGCGGUAAUACGAAGGGUGCAAGCGUUAAUCGGAAUUACUGGGCGUAAAGCGUGCGUAGGCGGUUUGUUAAGUCUGUUGUGAAAUCCCCGGGCUCAACCUGGGAAUGGCAAUGGAUACUGGCAAGCUAGAGUGUGUCUGAGGAUGGUGGAAUUCCCGGUGUAGCGGUGAAAUGCGUAGAUAUGCGGAGGAACACCGAUGGCGAAGGCAGCCCCCUGGGCCAACACUGACGCUCAUGCACGAAAGCGUGGGGAGCAAACAGGAUUAGAUACCCCCGUAGUCCCUGUCUCUUAUAC
This 301-nucleotide ribosomal RNA is filed under the name uncultured bacterium. RNAcentral's name for it is "partial 16S ribosomal RNA". It matches the Rfam family "Bacterial small subunit ribosomal RNA", at positions 509 to 807 of the family's 1533-position model. The record is from RNAcentral.